Molecule: long non-coding RNA, 1183 nt
Filed under: Homo sapiens (human)
Lineage: Eukaryota; Metazoa; Chordata; Mammalia; Primates; Hominidae
Description: non-protein coding RASSF8-AS1:13
Source: RNAcentral
CGGAACUGGGACGCCAGCGCUGCAUUGUGGGAGCUUUUAAAGCGGCGGGGAGCUCGGCGCGACCCUCGGGCCCACCGGGCCACGCUCGCCCGGCCCGCGACGCCCCCCCGCUGUCGCCUGGCCCGCGACGCACCGAGGCCUGAGGACCCGAAAGCCGGGCGCGGGGAGAUGACCGGUGGCUCGUGACGGUCCCACGGGCAAAAUCUUCCAUCGCCCGGGGCUGAGACUUGUCAAACUGCCCUCUACGGUCACCCGGAAAGUAGGAGGCUUUUUCUGCAGAGGGGAAAAAAAUCAAAAAGAGCCGUUCCAUCCCCCCUCCAAGGACUGGGUUUGAAUUGCUUUUCAUCUGCAGUGGCUGUGAUUCAGCGUCCCUCUUAGCAGCAGGCAAUGACAGAGGCAGGAGAGGGGAAAAAAAAAAAGAAAGAAAGAAAAAACACAGCAAAUGAAUCAAACGGACGUAGCAGGCAAGAGUGUGGUUAUCGUUGGACCAGGAUUCAGGAUCUGACUGAGUAGCUGACUCUUAAUCCAGUUUGUGUUGAUCACCAGGAGGAUCUGGACCUCAGUAUUACCACAUCUAGAGCUAUAAUCACAUCCCUGUUAAGCCUUCCUGAGAUCACACCAAAUGUCCUUGAUGGGAAUUGUAAACAACCCUUACUUCUGGUUUCUAAUGAUAUUCCAGGAAAGGAGCCUAACUAGAGUCAGUGAUAUGCCAACUCCACCUUUGCCUUCCACCAUGUUUGGAAGCUCCCUGAGGCCUCACCAGGAGCAGAUGCUCGUCCCAUGCUUCCUAUAAGCCUGCAGAACUGGAAAAGAAAGCUGGAUAAAGUAUUUAUAGAAGAUAGAGGACCUGUGGUGGCUCAUGCCUGUAAUCCAAGGUGGAAGGAUUGCUUGAGGCCAGAAGUUCAAGACCAGUCCAAGCAACAUAGCAAGGCCCCAUCUCUACAAAAAAUGAAAAUAAAAUUAGCCGAGCGUGAUGGCUCAUGCCUGUAGUUCUAGCUUCUAGAGAGGCUGAGGCAGGAGGAUUGCUUGAGUCCAGGAGUUCAAGAUUACAGUGAGCUAUGGUCACACCACUGCACUCCAGCCUGGGUGAUGGAGUGAGACUGUCUCAAUAAAAAGACAAAAAGGUAAGCCCUUAGGUAAAGUAAGCUUGCUUCUUUGUUAGAGCUAUCCAUGCUGAGUCCAG